RNAcentral lists this ribosomal RNA (253 nucleotides) under uncultured bacterium. Its description in RNAcentral is "partial 16S ribosomal RNA". It matches the Rfam family "Bacterial small subunit ribosomal RNA", at positions 524 to 776 of the family's 1533-position model. The record is from RNAcentral.
UACGAAGGGUGCAAGCGUUACUCGGAAUUACUGGGCGUAAAGCGUGCGUAGGCGGUUUGUUAAGUCUGUCGUGAAAGCCCCGGGCUCAACCUGGGAAUGGCGAUGGAAACUGGCGAGCUAGAGUACGGUAGAGGAGAGCGGAAUUCCGGGUGUAGCGGUGAAAUGCGUAGAUAUCCGGAGGAACACCGGUGGCGAAGGCGGCUUCCUGGACCGACACUGACGCUGAGGCGCGAAAGCUAGGGGAGCAAACGGG